Apus apus (common swift) is the source of this 1492-nucleotide long non-coding RNA. RefSeq lists it as uncharacterized. The record is from RefSeq and is a predicted model, not a curated record. NCBI's taxonomy places the organism in Eukaryota, Metazoa, Chordata, Aves, Apodiformes, Apodidae. The transcript has 8 exons.
CCCCCCUCCCCUUCCCUGCCCUCCUCCCGUCAUCGCCCCGUGCGUACAAAGGAAUCUCGGUUGCACCCUCCGGCGUUAACCCGCAACUGAGUCGACCACAGAGGGGGAAAGCAGGACAUCCAAGACUGCUUUGCUGUGAUCUCCCCCUGAUUGAUCCAGAGAGCAUCAACUCAAACCCACAAGCAGAGAGAGGCUGCCCCAAGGAGGUAUUUCCUCGGCCCUUUGGAAAAUACCAGCUAUAAAAGAAAGCUGGAUUUACUGAGAAGUCAGUUGGCAGCCAGCACACACCUCAGCACAUUGGUCUCCCAGAGAGCAACGUUGCUUAAUGAGCAGCAGCUCCCUAAGAAUGUGUUAGAGCCUCUGCUGGUAUCAACUGACAUGGCUCCAUGGAGGAAUUCAACUCAGCUCUUGGCACAACAAAUCCCUUACCAGGAAUCACAUCCUUCUUCCAGGCAUGAUCCAGCCAUGCCCAGGACACUGAUGUCUCAUACCCUGUUUGGAAUGAUGCCUUGUCAAAGCUGACUCCUGCAUGGUGUUGCUGAAUUUUCUGAAGCACCUGAGUCAGCUCUUUGUGUGGUACAUGAACACCUUUUAAAACUCUGCAUCUGCAUAUGGAUGAAAGAGAGAGAGAAGCUCAAGUUUUGAUCUAGGACUACUGGUCCUGAAUCCUCAUGAAUAAAUCUUUGAAGUCUCUUGUUUUCAGAAGAGAACCAUUUCAUAUUGACUAUAACUCAGGGACCCAUCAGAGACAACAUCAUCUUUCAUCUCAGACAGUAAGACUGAGAGCGUGGAUGCUAAGUGUCAUAUGGCACAUUUGGACAUGAAGAGAGGAACCAGCACUUUGCAGUCAGGAGCAUCCACCAGUGAAAGCAGCUGGAACAGCUCUGUGGCAAGCAGGUCACAGCAGUUGAUACUGACCUCGAGAGAAUGAGGUGGGAUUUUGUGCUGGCUGAACUGAAAUAUGAACAUGAGGAUAAUGGAAAGCAAAGGCUUCAUGAAGAGAGAAUGGAGCGGAAAAAUCAAGUCAGUAAAAAGAUUGCUCAGCCAAGGACUCCAUGACCUGCUCCAUCCCCCAAACCAGUAUGCCUUGUUCAUAGACUGCUUCACUGACAUCCAUAUUAUUUGUACCACGAAGGAGCUGGCCACCUAUGUUUUCCAAACCCAUCACCUGUUCUGUUUUGCUAUUGUGCUCUUGUGCAUUCUCAAAAAGGUUUUUCAAGAUAACAACAACAAAAAGUUCUUAAAAAAGGCAGCACAUUGUGCUCUCUUUGCCCCUGUGUCAGCUGCUUUAUUAUCUCUUCCUCACUACACCAAUCUUGCAAUCUUGCAGGCAGGGUUUCAGCUAUUGUUAUAUGCACUGUAGCCUAAUUAUGGAAAAUGGAUUUCCUCAAUAAAACUGUGACUGAAUGGCAUCACUUGACAUCAUCCUGUCUCACCAGCUUUUGGCAUCAUUCAGGGCCAUUGGUCUAUACAAAAAGAAUUACACACAAUA